This 21-nucleotide non-coding RNA is filed under the name Caenorhabditis elegans. The record is from RNAcentral. Lineage: Eukaryota; Metazoa; Nematoda; Chromadorea; Rhabditida; Rhabditidae.
UCCAUCCAAACUAGUAAAUUU